Molecule: ribosomal RNA, 985 nt
Filed under: Cytobacillus firmus
Lineage: Bacteria; Bacillati; Bacillota; Bacilli; Caryophanales; Bacillaceae
Description: bacterial SSU rRNA
Rfam family: Bacterial small subunit ribosomal RNA
Source: RNAcentral
UCGAGCGGACGGAUGGGAGCUUGCUCCCUGAAGUCAGCGGCGGACGGGUGAGUAACACGUGGGCAACCUGCCUGUAAGACUGGGAUAACUCCGGGAAACCGGGGCUAAUACCGGAUAACUCUUUUCCUCACAUGAGGAAAAGCUGAAAGAUGGUUUCGGCUAUCACUUACAGAUGGGCCCGCGGCGCAUUAGCUAGUUGGUGAGGUAACGGCUCACCAAGGCCACGAUGCGUAGCCGACCUGAGAGGGUGAUCGGCCACACUGGGACUGAGACACGGCCCAGACUCCUACGGGAGGCAGCAGUAGGGAAUCUUCCGCAAUGGACGAAAGUCUGACGGAGCAACGCCGCGUGAGUGAUGAAGGUUUUCGGAUCGUAAAACUCUGUUGUCAGGGAAGAACAAGUACCGGAGUAACUGCCGGUACCUUGACGGUACCUGACCAGAAAGCCACGGCUAACUACGUGCCAGCAGCCGCGGUAAUACGUAGGUGGCAAGCGUUGUCCGGAAUUAUUGGGCGUAAAGCGCGCGCAGGCGGUUCCUUAAGUCUGAUGUGAAAGCCCCCGGCUCAACCGGGGAGGGUCAUUGGAAACUGGGGAACUUGAGUGCAGAAGAGAAGAGUGGAAUUCCACGUGUAGCGGUGAAAUGCGUAGAGAUGUGGAGGAACACCAGUGGCGAAGGCGACUCUUUGGUCUGUAACUGACGCUGAAGCGCGAAAGCGUGGGGAGCAAACAGGAUUAGAUACCCUGGUAGUCCACGCCGUACACGAUGAGUGCUAAGUGUUAGAGGGUUUCCGCCCUUUAGUGCUGCACCACACGCAUUAAGCACUCCGCCUGGGGAGUACAGCCUCAAGGCUGAAACUCAAAGGAGUUGAGGUGGGCCCGCGCAAUCUGUGGAGCAUGUGGUUGAAUUCGCAGCAGCGCGAAUAACCUUACAAGGUCUGGACAUCUCCUGACGACCCUACAGAUAGGGCGGUCGCCUCCUGGGACA